RNA transcript from Brachypodium distachyon (stiff brome), 4079 nucleotides. RefSeq lists it as uncharacterized. The record is from RefSeq and is a predicted model, not a curated record. Lineage: Eukaryota; Viridiplantae; Streptophyta; Magnoliopsida; Poales; Poaceae. The transcript is spliced from 7 exons.
GCCAAACCAAAGAGAGCACCGGGGAAGAGGAGCCCAGCGGACUGCGGACGGACACCGCACCAAACCAAAGCGACCAGAAAAUUCUCUCCUCCUCGCACCAGCGCUGCUCUCCUCCUCUCCCCACCGAAAUUCCCCACAUCCGCCCCGCCGUCUUCCACCCCGUCCGUCUCCCCCGCCGGCCACCGCCAUGCGCAUCCGCAGGUACGCCGCGCGCCUGCUCGCCUCCUCGAACCCGGCGUCCGCCGCCGCGUCCUCGCCCCCGCCGCAGCCCGCGGCGCCCUGGUUCCACGCCGCUGCCGAUGACUGCGCCAUCUGCGAGCGCACCCGCUGCUCCGACUCGGAGGGGGCUCCCGACGGGGUGAAGCACAAGGGGCACAUUGCCAGACUCACGCCGGAGGGCGAGCUCAAGAGCGAUGAGCGCAUCGGCGUACCUCGGUCGCCUCCUGUUCCUCCGGAAGAAAUCAUUCCAGCUCACGAAUGCAAGGUAGAUGACGAACGAUCUGCGAGUAAACAUGACGCCACACUGGAAGAAGUUGAAAUUGGAGCUUCUAGUGUUAGCUCAACUCCUGUUCCUCCGGAAGAAAUCAUUCCGGCUCAUGGAUGCAAGAUAGAUGACGAACGAUCUGUGGGUAAACAUGACGCCGCGCUGGAAGUUGAAAUUGGAGCUUCUGGUGUUAGUUCACCUCGUGUUCCUCCGGAAGAAAUUAUCCCAACUCAUGAAUGCAAGAUCGAUGACGAACGAUCUGCAAGUAAAGAUGGCGUCGCUCUGGAAUUUGAAAUGGGAGCUUCUGGUGCUAGUAGAGCUGCUGCGAGACCAGAUGAUAUGGGGAAAACUAUGCUUGUCAAUGAAGCCGUUACUGAGCCAGCAGAUACAGGAGGAGCUUUUAUUGUUAAUGAAGAUACUGAUGAGCAGGAAGUUGGAGGGACAACUUCUCCUGUGAAUGCCUCUGUUACUGAACAGGAGGUUACUGGGGGAGCUUCUCUUGUGAGUGACUCGUUCUCUGAGCCAGAAGUUAUACGGGGAGUUUCCUUUGCUAAUGAAGCUACUACGAAGCAAGAAGUUUCGGAGAUAGUUUCUCUCGUGAGUGAGGCUAUAACUGAGCCAGCAGCUAUAGUCACUGCAUCGGAAGUUAUAAGGGGAGCCCCCCUUGAUGGCAAAGGCGAUGCAGAGCCCGAUUUGAAAAUGAGAGCUUCUCUCGUGAAUGAGUCUGCUUGUAAAAUGGAUGUUAAGCGGGUAUCUUCCCUUGUUUUUGAAGCUGUAACUCAUGCAGCACUCCCAGAAAGUGUUUCUCUUGUGAGUGAAGUUGUCACUGAGCCAGGAGUUAAUGGAGCUGCUUUCCACGACAAUGAAGUUUCAGUGGAACCAGAAGUUGCAGGUGGACCUUCUCUUGUAGAUGAAUCUACUGAACAGGCAGUAACAGGGAAAACUUGUGCUGUCAAGGAAGUUGCUGCAGAACCAGAUGUUGUUGGCGGGGCUUCUGCUUGUAGGGGAGAUGGCAAUGCUGAUUUAAAUGAGCAACAGCCUCCUGACUAUGAUCCAGAUAUUUCCAGUGUACAGGGUGAAAGUGCAGGAGAGGGUGUCGCCAGCGAAGUGCAGCCUUCUAGAGACCAUGAAGCAGAUACCAUUCGUUCUGUAAACACCAGGAACAGUGAACCUGUUGGAGACAAGAGUCCAACUGGUGAGGAAGUAGCACCGCACGAUGACACACCCAGUGUUUCAUGUGUAUCAGAUAUUUUAGCUAGAAGCGUUGGGAAAUCAGGGAGAACUGAUAUCAUAUGUUAUGCUAGGCGCAGGGGUAAAAGGAAGCUAAAUAUUGUGGAGAUAAAGAGAAAACAAAUUAAAAUGGAUGAUGGUGCCAUCUAUGAUCAAAAGGCGGCACUGGAUAGAAUUGCUCCUCGCCUGAGUAAAAUGCCAACAGCUGGAUCUGCAGAAAUUAAACUCGCCGACAUAAAGAGAGAACUUAUAGACAAUUCAGCCUCGAGCAAGGGUAAACAGAGGAAGAUGCGACCAUUUGAAUGUGACGUUGAGUAUUGCCGCAUGACAUUCAAAAAUAAGGCCGAGCUUUCUCUCCACAAGAAGAACAUGUGCACGCUCAAGUCAUGUGGCAGACAAUUCAGAGCCCACAAGUAUCUGAAACGCCACCAGAAGAUUCACGAUUGUGAUACUCCUUACAAGUGCCCAUGGGAGGGUUGCAGUAUGGCUUUCAAGUGGACAUGGGCUCUGGCAGAGCAUUUCCAAGUUCAUACAGGAGAUAAGCCAUAUAAAUGCAAGACGCCUGGGUGUGGCCGGAUAUAUAAGUUUGUUUCGGACUUCACCCGGCAUAGGAUGAGGUGCAAACCUCAGAGGUGCGUUGAUGAUGAACACCGUGUGAGUAAAGGUUAUGUGGGACUGGAAGUUGCAAGAGGAGCUUCUGUUGUUAAUGGAGACACCAGAUGAUACAGAGGAAACUACGCUUUGACGUAAAGACGCUACUGAGCCGGCAGUUCCAGGAGGAGCUUUUAUUGUUAAUGAAGAUACUGAUGAGCAGGAAGUUGGAGGGAUAACUUUUUGUUUGAAAGGCUCUGUGACUGAACUGGAGGUUACUAGGGGAAGCUUCUCUUGUGAAUGGCUCUGUCACUGAACUGGAGGUUACUGGGGUAGCUUCUGGCGUGAGCGGAUUGUUUGCUAAGCCAGAAGUUAUAAGGGGAGUUUCUCUUGCUAAUGAAGCUGCUACUCAGUGAGAAGUUCCAGGGUGAGUUUCUCUUGUGAGUGAGUCUACAACUGGGCCAACAGCUAUACUCACUGCAUUGGAAGUUACAAUGGGAGCUCCCCUUGAUGACGAAGUAGCUGCAGAGCCGAAUAUUAAAUGGUAGCAUCUCUUAUGAAUGAAUCUGCUGCUAAAAUGGAUGUGAAAUGGACAGCUUCCCUUUUUUUGAAGCUAUGACUCAUCCAGGACUUGCAGACAGAGUUCCUCCUUGGAGUGAAGUUGUCACUGAGCCAGGACUUCUCACUGUCACAGGUGGACCUUCAUUUACUGAACUAGAAAUUACAUGGGAAUCUUAUACUGCUAAGGAAGUUGCUGGCAUGGCUUCUUCUUGUAGUGGAGAUGGUGAUCCUGAUUUAAAUGGGCCACAGCCUCUGGAUUUUGUUCCAAACAAUUGCUAAUGUGCAGGUUGAAAAUGCAGGAGAGGGUGUUGCCAGCAAAAUGCAGCCGCCUUACAGGACCAUGCAGUUGACGCUAUUGGUUCUGUAGAUACCACGAACAGUGAUCCUGUUAAAGACAAGAGUCUAACUGGCGCAGAGGUAAGAGGAAACUGAAUAUUGUGGAGAUAAAGUCAGAAACAAAUUGGAAUGGAUGAUGGUGCCAUGAUGCCAUCUAUGAUCAAUGUGAGGAAAAGGCGGUGCUGUACAGGAUUGCUCCUUGCAUGAGAGCAUUGUCAAAAGCUGAACCUGCAAAAAUUAAACUUGUGGACAUAAAGAGUGAAUUUAUAGACAAAAUUCAAUUCAACUUCAAGCAAGGGUAAAAAAGAGGAAGAUGCAACAAUUUGAAUGUGACAUAGAAUACUGCUGCAUGACAUUCAAUAAAAAAGCCGAAGUUUGUCUGCACACAAAGAACAUGUGCACUGUCAAGUCAUGUGGUAGACAAUUCAGGACCAAUAGGUAUCUGAGAGACAAAUCACAAUGAUGACACGUCUUACAAGUGCGCAUGGGAUGGUUGCAGUAUGGCUUUCAAGGAAACAGGGGCUCUUGCUGAGCAUUUCCAAGUUCAUACAGGGAAAGACUAUAAAUGCAGGAUGUCUGGGUGUGGCAAGAUAUAUACGUAUGUUUCGUUCACCCGGCAUAGGAUGAGGUGCAAACCUCAGAGGUAAAAUCUUUCUGAAUUUUUCAGAGCAAGGGUAGGAGCAAAGCUUGUGUUUGCUUUUGUAUAUGGUUUUAUUAUUUGCUGAAGUUAUUGUGUUCAAUUGUUCUGAGUUCUGACGACUUAUGGUGAGAUUGUUCGUUUCUUUACUGAAGAAAAUGGUUAAUAAUGCUUUUCUUGAAUGUCGGUGUAACAUUUCCAGAAGCUGAUUGAUAAAUAUCCCUAUUGUUUGUUCUUUAA